Molecule: transfer RNA, 77 nt
Filed under: Eropterus sp. UPOL A00553
Lineage: Eukaryota; Metazoa; Arthropoda; Insecta; Coleoptera; Lycidae
Description: tRNA-Gln
Source: RNAcentral
UUUUAAACAUUUAUAAAAUAAAAUUUAAUUUUACAAUGAAAAUGUAAUGUUUUUUUUAAACUAUAUAAAAUAGAAAU